Molecule: ribosomal RNA, 262 nt
Filed under: uncultured microorganism
Description: partial 16S ribosomal RNA
Rfam family: Bacterial small subunit ribosomal RNA
Source: RNAcentral
GUGCAGCAGUCGCGAAACUUUCGCAAUGCGCGCAAGCGUGACGGAGUGACGCCGCGUGGACGAUGAAGGCCCUUCGGGUUGUAAAGUCCAAUCGCGGGGGAAGAAACAGCGGAGGGAAACACUCUGCCGCUGUGACGUUACCCCGGUCGAAGCGCCGGCUAAACACGUGCCAGCAGCCGCGGUAAGACGUGUGGCGCAAGCGUUGUUCGGAAUCACUGGGCAUAAAGAGCGCGUAGGCGGUGUCGUAAGUCGGAUGUGAAAG